GGGCGGGGCCUGCCGCCGCCACCGCCUCAGGGAAGAGGAAGGAGGCCGCGGCUUCGCGUCCCGCCUCUCGCCUGGCUGGCCGUGGGGGGCCUGGACGCAGUGGCCUCCCGAAUCUCCCAGGACCCUAAUGUCGCCCGAGGAUGCUGGGAGGAACACUGAGCCGACCUCUCCGUUAGGCUGAAGAUUGCACAAACCAUGCUAAUGGCCAGCAUGGGUGGAGGGAGCGUGUGAGAUGUGUGGGGCGGCGUGCUGCAUCUCAGCCAACUCCAGGAGGAAGCAUGCUCAUGGCAAUACCCGGAGUCUCCACUGCAAGACCAGAGUGAUGGAGGCAGCAGAGCUCCUCAGCAGGCCAGGAGUCUCCAGAGGCACUGCCGAAUGUCUAAGAAGCAACCUCAUUGUAUUCCCAAGAGCUGGGAAUCCAGGUCUCGCAGAUACGAUGAUACAAUCUAUAGCCAGGACAUCUCUUCAUGUGUAGGAUAAGCAACUAUCCCAGUCUUCCCAGGAUUGAGGGACUUCUCCAGAUGCUGCACUUCCGGUGCUAAAAAUUAGAAACUGAAAUGAAUUAGUCACCCAAGGAAUGCUGACCCUGUGCUA
Molecule: long non-coding RNA, 594 nt
Filed under: Pan troglodytes (chimpanzee)
Lineage: Eukaryota; Metazoa; Chordata; Mammalia; Primates; Hominidae
Description: lincRNA
Source: RNAcentral